Molecule: ribosomal RNA, 156 nt
Filed under: Triticum aestivum (bread wheat)
Lineage: Eukaryota; Viridiplantae; Streptophyta; Magnoliopsida; Poales; Poaceae
Also listed under: 1 other name
Description: rRNA 5_8S_rRNA
Rfam family: 5.8S ribosomal RNA
About the family: 5.8S ribosomal RNA (5.8S rRNA) is a component of the large subunit of the eukaryotic ribosome. It is transcribed by RNA polymerase I as part of the 45S precursor that also contains 18S and 28S rRNA.
Source: Rfam by way of RNAcentral
GACUCUCGGCAACGGAUAUCUCGGCUCUCGCAUCGAUGAAGAACGUAGCGAAAUGCGAUACCUGGUGUGAAUUGCAGAAUCCCACAAACCAUCGAGUCUUUGAACGCAAGUUGCGCCCGAGGCCACUCGGCCGAGGGCACGCCUGCCUGGGCGUCA